Molecule: ribosomal RNA, 497 nt
Filed under: uncultured bacterium
Lineage: Bacteria
Description: partial 16S ribosomal RNA
Rfam family: Bacterial small subunit ribosomal RNA
Source: RNAcentral
GAUGAACGCUGGCGGCGUGCCUAAUACAUGCAAGUCGAGCGAACAGACGAGGAGCUUGCUCCUCUGACGUUAGCGGCGGACGGGUGAGUAACACGUGGAUAACCUACCUAUAAGACUGGGAUAACUUCGGGAAACCGGAGCUAAUACCGGAUAAUAUAUUGAACCGCAUGGUUCAAUAGUGAAAGACGGGUUUGCUGUCACUUAUAGAUGUAUCCGCGCCGCAUUAGCUAGUUGGUAAGGUAACGGCUUACCAAGGCAACGAUGCGUAGCCGACCUGAGAGGGUGAUCGGCCACACUGGAACUGAGACACGGUCCAGACUCCUACGGGAGGCAGCAGUAGGGAAUCUUCCGCAAUGGGCGAAAGCCUGACGGAGCAACGCCGCGUGAGUGAUGAAGGUGUUCGGAUCGUAAAACUCUGUUAUUAGGGAAGAACAAAUGUGUAAGUAACUAUGCACGUCUUGACGGUACCUAAUCAGAAAGCCACGGCUAACUACGUG